AAGGAAAGCCAGCUAUGUCAUGUGGACACUCGAGCAGUCCUCUGGAGUGAGCCACAUGGUGAAAAAUGGAGUCCUCCUGCCACCAGCCAAAAGGGACUUGCCAGCCUUGUGACUGAGCUGGCCCAGACACUCCAGCCCCAGUUAAACCUUUGGAAGACUGUGGCCUCGCCAACAUCUUGACUGCAACUUCGUGAGAGACCCAGAGCUAGACCCAUGCAACUAAGCUGCUCCCCAAUUCCUGGCCCACAGACACUGGGAGAGAUAAUACAUGUUUAUUUCUGUUCGAAGCUGCUAAGUUUUGGGUAAUUUGUUUUGCAGCAAUAGGUAAUUGAUAGCAUUAGGAAACAUUAGCUAAUGCUAACAAUGUUUUGCAGAUGAGGGAAUUGAGGCAUAAAAGUAACUUGCCCCAGGUCACACAGGAAUCAGGACACUUUGCCUGCUCAGAGGGAGAGAGGGAAAGAGACAGAGACACAAACACAGAGAGACAGUGACACGGAGAAGUGCGCCGUGGGCUCACAGUACCAUGUGAAGGACUGGGGCUGCCCUUCUGUAAAGUGAAGGCAGUGGAGAAGUGAAGUGAAGUGUAAAUGAAGCGGAAAGUGAAGGAUGGUGGAGAGCACCCUUGCCCUUGCAGCCUGGCUGUGCUUGGCUUGGGGCUGCUGGUCUCUGACCCUGGCUGGGCUGGUGACACAGCCUAAGAGGAGCUCCCAUUGGAUGGAGGAGCCAACGACGACAGUCCAGUGUGAUCAGGGAGAUUGGGACACACAGUGCCGUGGGGGCCCAGAGGAGCAGGGAGGAUCUCUGUGGAGGAGGCGAGAAGUCUUCCCAGAGGAGGAGGCAUUUGAGAAAUUAACCAGUUUAUGUGCCCUGAAAAAUUCCCACUUCCACCCUCUGGGUUCGCAUGCUGGCUCAGUCACUUACUAGCUGUGUGACCUCUCUGCUGCUUAGUUUACUCAUCUGUAAAAUGGGAUAAACACAAAACCUGCCUGAUGGAGAUGUCGUAAGGAUCAAAGAGGAAAAAGAAUUUAAAACAUUUAGAAUGGUGCGUGACCCCCAGCAAGUAUACAAUAAAUAUUGGCUAUUGUUGUUA
This is a long non-coding RNA of Pan troglodytes (chimpanzee), 1090 nucleotides long. RefSeq lists it as uncharacterized. The record is from RefSeq and is a predicted model, not a curated record. The transcript is spliced from 4 exons. NCBI's taxonomy places the organism in Eukaryota, Metazoa, Chordata, Mammalia, Primates, Hominidae.